Molecule: ribosomal RNA, 3005 nt
Filed under: Salmonella enterica subsp. enterica serovar Heidelberg
Lineage: Bacteria; Pseudomonadati; Pseudomonadota; Gammaproteobacteria; Enterobacterales; Enterobacteriaceae
Description: bacterial LSU rRNA
Rfam family: Bacterial large subunit ribosomal RNA
Source: RNAcentral
UUAAGCGACUAAGCGUACACGGUGGAUGCCCUGGCAGUCAGAGGCGAUGAAGGGCGUGCUAAUCUGCGAUAAGCGCCGGUAAGGUGAUAUGAACCGUUAUAACCGGCGAUACCCGAAUGGGGAAACCCAGUGUGACUCGUCACACUAUCAUUAACUGAAUCCAUAGGUUAAUGAGGCGAACCGGGGGAACUGAAACAUCUAAGUACCCCGAGGAAAAGAAAUCAACCGAGAUUCCCCCAGUAGCGGCGAGCGAACGGGGAGGAGCCCAGAGCCUGAAUCAGCAUGUGUGUUAGUGGAAGCGUCUGGAAAGGCGCGCGAUACAGGGUGACAGCCCCGUACACAAAAGCGCAUGUGCUGUGAGCUCGAUGAGUAGGGCGGGACACGUGGUAUCCUGUCUGAAUAUGGGGGGGACCAUCCUCCAAGGCUAAAUACUCCUGACUGACCGAUAGUGAACCAGUACCGUGAGGGAAAGGCGAAAAGAACCCCGGCGAGGGGAGUGAAAAAGAACCUGAAACCGUGUACGUACAAGCAGUGGGAGCCCCACCACUAAGCCAGUGGUGAACUCCACAUACGCAUCCUUUGCUGAGGAUACGGUUAACGGAGCGAAAGCGACGUUCAACCGCAAAAGAAGCAGAGGGGGCUUAGUGGUGGGGUGACUGCGUACCUUUUGUAUAAUGGGUCAGCGACUUAUAUUCUGUAGCAAGGUUAACCGAAUAGGGGAGCCGGAGGGAAACCGAGUCUUAAUUGGGCGUUAAGUUGCAGGGUAUAGACCCGAAACCCGGUGAUCUAGCCAUGGGCAGGUUGAAGGUUGGGUAACACUAACUGGAGGACCGAACCGACUAAUGUUGAAAAAUUAGCGGAUGACCUGUGGCUGGGGGUGAAAGGCCAAUCAAACCGGGAGAUAGCUGGUUCUCCCCGAAAGCUAUUUAGGUAGCGCCUCGUGAAUUCAUCUCCGGGGGUAGAGCACUGUUUCGGCUAGGGGGCCAUCCCGGCUUACCAACCCGAUGCAAACUGCGAAUACCGGAGAAUGUUAUCACGGGAGACACACGGCGGGUGCUAACGUCCGUCGUGAAGAGGGAAACAACCCAGACCGCCAGCUAAGGUCCCAAAGUCAUGGUUAAGUGGGAAACGAUGUGGGAAGGCCCAGACAGCCAGGAUGUUGGCUUAGAAGCAGCCAUCAUUUAAAGAAAGCGUAAUAGCUCACUGGUCGAGUCGGCCUGCGCGGAAGAUGUAACGGGGCUAAACCAUGCACCGAAGCUGCGGCAGCGACACUGUGUGUUGUUGGGUAGGGGAGCGUUCUGUAAGCCUGUGAAGGUGUGUCGUGAGGCAUGCUGGAGGUAUCAGAAGUGCGAAUGCUGACAUAAGUAACGAUAAAGCGGGUGAAAAGCCCGCUCGCCGGAAGACCAAGGGUUCCUGUCCAACGUUAAUCGGGGCAGGGUGAGUCGACCCCUAAGGCGAGGCCGAAAGGCGUAGUCGAUGGGAAACGGGUUAAUAUUCCCGUACUUGGUGUUACUGCGAAGGGGGGACGGAGAAGGCUAUGUUGGCCGGGCGACGGUUGUCCCGGUUUAAGCGUGUAGGUGUGUGUUCCAGGUAAAUCCGGUUCACUUUAACACUGAGGCGUGACGACGAGGCACUACGGUGCUGAAGCAACAAAUGCCCUGCUUCCAGGAAAAGCCUCUAAGCAUCAGGUAACAUCAAAUCGUACCCCAAACCGACACAGGUGGUCAGGUAGAGAAUACCAAGGCGCUUGAGAGAACUCGGGUGAAGGAACUAGGCAAAAUGGUGCCGUAACUUCGGGAGAAGGCACGCUGACACGUAGGUGAAGUGAUUUACUCAUGGAGCUGAAGUCAGUCGAAGAUACCAGCUGGCUGCAACUGUUUAUUAAAAACACAGCACUGUGCAAACACGAAAGUGGACGUAUACGGUGUGACGCCUGCCCGGUGCCGGAAGGUUAAUUGAUGGGGUCAGCGCAAGCGAAGCUCCUGAUCGAAGCCCCGGUAAACGGCGGCCGUAACUAUAACGGUCCUAAGGUAGCGAAAUUCCUUGUCGGGUAAGUUCCGACCUGCACGAAUGGCGUAAUGAUGGCCAGGCUGUCUCCACCCGAGACUCAGUGAAAUUGAACUCGCUGUGAAGAUGCAGUGUACCCGCGGCAAGACGGAAAGACCCCGUGAACCUUUACUAUAGCUUGACACUGAACAUUGAGCCUUGAUGUGUAGGAUAGGUGGGAGGCUUUGAAGUGUGGACGCCAGUCUGCAUGGAGCCGACCUUGAAAUACCACCCUUUAAUGUUUGAUGUUCUAACGUGGACCCGUUACCCGGGUUGCGGACAGUGUCUGGUGGGUAGUUUGACUGGGGCGGUCUCCUCCUAAAGAGUAACGGAGGAGCACGAAGGUUGGCUAAUCCUGGUCGGACAUCAGGAGGUUAGUGCAAUGGCAUAAGCCAGCUUGACUGCGAGCGUGACGGCGCGAGCAGGUGCGAAAGCAGGUCAUAGUGAUCCGGUGGUUCUGAAUGGAAGGGCCAUCGCUCAACGGAUAAAAGGUACUCCGGGGAUAACAGGCUGAUACCGCCCAAGAGUUCAUAUCGACGGCGGUGUUUGGCACCUCGAUGUCGGCUCAUCACAUCCUGGGGCUGAAGUAGGUCCCAAGGGUAUGGCUGUUCGCCAUUUAAAGUGGUACGCGAGCUGGGUUUAGAACGUCGUGAGACAGUUCGGUCCCUAUCUGCCGUGGGCGCUGGAGAACUGAGGGGGGCUGCUCCUAGUACGAGAGGACCGGAGUGGACGCAUCACUGGUGUUCGGGUUGUCAUGCCAAUGGCACUGCCCGGUAGCUAAAUGCGGAAGAGAUAAGUGCUGAAAGCAUCUAAGCACGAAACUUGCCCCGAGAUGAGUUCUCCCUGAGACUUAGAGUCUCCUGAAGGAACGUUGAAGACGACGACGUUGAUAGGCCGGGUGUGUAAGCGCAGCGAUGCGUUGAGCUAACCGGUACUAAUGAACCGUGAGGCUUAACCUU